UCCAUUUUAAGCGUUUGAAUAACCCUGCAUAACUAAACGUGCAAGGUGAAACUUUGGGAAAUGUUGAUCAGGAAAAAUAGAGGAGGAGUUGGUACUGGUGUUAAAUUAUUUUCUUUUAUAUUUGGUUUGUUAGGAGGAUUUUAUAUUUAUUUGCCAAUUAUUCAAAAAGCAGCUGCACACCAGAAAAAGGAAAAGGCCAAGGAGGAGACGAGCGAGACGGAUACCAACACCACCGAAGCACCUUGAGUGUUCCAGUAACUCUAUCUCUAUUUCCGGUAGAAAAUCAGGAAGAAGAUGCCAUUUUUGCCAAGAAGAAUGUUAGCAGUUAUAUCUGUGUCAUCAUUUGUUCUGUGUUUGGCUGAUGUGCUUUCUCGCAGAAGAGAUUCAUCUCAAGACCCAGAAAUACACAGAUUGUCUCGGCACAAAGAACUUUAUCAGAACAAUGAAGUGACGAAUAAGGAGGAAAUGACUUGUUAAAAACAAAGAAUCAUGAUAAAAUUGAUUUUAAUUUGUGUUUGAUGAAUGGAGGGUGAAAUGGUAUCUGUGAUAACAUGCAUUUGUAGAUUGAUGGCAACUUUAGUUCAUUGUUCCUAGCCAAACAUGCUUAACCCCUAAAAACAUUAACACAUACCUAAAGGCUAUACAUGGCAGUCUACACUGUAUAUGACUGUCAGGAAUCUUCCUCUACAUAGAUUUUCUAGAUAACAUAGAAAUCAAGAUUGUAUUAAAUAAGACCAAGUCUCGGAGCACUUUUCUUCUUGAGGCCCAACAAGUAGACCCUCCAUGCGAGUGGAACUGAACCAGUUACAGUAUGUUUAAAUUUUUACAUACACCAAUACUAUGUUGACCUAUUAUCUGGAAGCUCGUAACCUUUGUAGGUAGAGAUGUAAUAUGUAAAUGGGUAAAACCUCUGGUAAGGAUCUUGUAUAUAAUAAAAUUUGUUGUUUAAUAA
Molecule: long non-coding RNA, 952 nt
Organism: Pecten maximus
Lineage: Eukaryota; Metazoa; Mollusca; Bivalvia; Pectinida; Pectinidae
Exons: 2
Source: RefSeq, a predicted model, not a curated record